RNAcentral lists this long non-coding RNA (357 nucleotides) under Macaca nemestrina (pig-tailed macaque). RNAcentral describes it as "lncRNA (ENSMNEG00000046066.1)". Lineage: Eukaryota; Metazoa; Chordata; Mammalia; Primates; Cercopithecidae. The record is from RNAcentral.
GUUAACUUCAACAAGCAUGCUGGCCUGGAGACUACAUAAUGGUGUAUCGGUUAUGAUAAGAGCAUCCUUUUCCCUAGUGUCACUAGGUUACAUCGUGCCUUUUCUCUUCCACAUGACGGAGAUCUUCAAAGUAAGCAUCUUUCAAAGCAGUGACAAGCAAAAUACAGCUGGAAGAUCAGUAACUCUCUGUUAAGCAGCUUUGCUUGCUGUCAUUGUUGACUGCCAGGGGGUGGUGAUCCAUGUCAGUCACUAAAAUGACACCUUGGCAAGACUGCUGUCUGCUCCUGGAGUUUUUGUGUAUGGAAACAAUUUUAAGGUAAUGAGAUUUUCAUAUAUUUCUAGCACCUUUCACAGGGU